AAUUUAUACCAAUUUCUAACAAAAACAAAGGGAACAGAUGGCCACUUUAAUUCUUCGGUUGUAUCCCCACAUAUAAGGAUUUCGAAAGGACAAGGGGCUUAGGAAGGGUAAAGCAAGUUGAAGGAGGUCAUACGAACCAAAUCUCUUACAUGUCAUCAUGUUUAUAACACUGCACUUAACAAAUUAUACUUUGAAUUCGAAGUUACUGCGUGUAUAUGUCCAUCAACCAAGCUGUCUGAAUCUACAGCAGCGCCAAGCCAUGCUGUCGGCCUAGACCGAAGAAAAUGUUGUCAGGAUGUAAAUUUCCAACGUCAUCUGUACGGUUGUAUCGCCACUGUGAAGCUGGAACUUGUAAAAUGUCACCUCCGCCCGAGCUGCACGACACGAAAAACGAAUUAUCAGACGUUGUAAAUAAUUCACUUUAUGUUGCCUGAGAAAAAUACUGUGACUACAUCAUAAUGUAUAUAUACGGUCAAUGAUCUGUCGUUACUCGCUUCGGUUGGCUAUUGGCAAAUGGACUCUCAGAAGAGGCUCUCUCGAGCCGAAGACAAAGUGGUGGCAGUUUCCAGGGAAACAAGAAGUAAAAUUCGAGUAAGCUUUGUGAAUAUGGCAGCGGUAAAACGAUGAAAAGUCUUUUGAAAUCCAAGUGUUUAUCGGCAACAGGUUCCAGAUAAUCACCAACAUCCUUGACCAAACUAAUCAGGAAACAUAAAAGCAAAUGUGAGAAUGUCAUUCUUGUGGCUUACAAAUUUGACUGAAGUCCAUAUGAUGAAUGUAGCUCUCUGUCCUUCACAUCACUAUCAGUGAAGAUUCGGUUCUUAAUAUAUCAAAAUGAAAGAAGUCUUUGGUUUAAUAAUGAAAUUUAAUAGCAUUAAGAUAUUCAGGUAAUCUUCAAAAGUGUUAGGAGGCUAUCCCUUUAAUUUCAAUAAAAUUUGAGGCCCAAUACAUUCAGUUUGUUUUAGAGCCGUUUGUCAUCAGUGAAGCGAGUGUUAAAAUUAUGCCCAAGUUUUAUCAUUUUACUAAUAUUAUUGUAAAUUAUUUCUGAACAAUGAAAACAUGACAAUUUUAACAAGGUUGGAAAGAUUUUAUUAAA
This is a long non-coding RNA of Macrobrachium nipponense, 1093 nucleotides long. RefSeq lists it as uncharacterized. The record is from RefSeq and is a predicted model, not a curated record. The transcript has 4 exons. Lineage: Eukaryota; Metazoa; Arthropoda; Malacostraca; Decapoda; Palaemonidae.